GACGAACGCUGGCGGCGUGCCUAAUACAUGCAAGUUGAGCGAUGAAGAUUGGUGCUUGCACCACUUUGGAGAGCAGCGGACGGGUGAGUAACGCGUGGGGAAUCUGCCUUUGAGCGGGGGACAACAUCUGGAAACGAAUGCUAAUACCGCAUAACAUCUUUAAACAUAUGUUUCAAGAUUGAAAGAUGCUAUUGCAUCACUCAAAGAUGAUCCCGCGUUGGAUUUGCUAGUUGGUGAGGUAAAGGCCCACCAAGGCGAUGAUACAUAAGCGACCUGGAAGGGUGAUCCGCCACAAUGGGACCGAGGCACGGCUCAAGCCUCCUCGGGGAGGCGCAGGAGGGAAUCCUUCGGCAUGGAGGAAAGGCCGGCCGGGGAACGGCGGGGGAGUGGAGGAGGUUCUCCGAUCGUUAAACUCCGUUGAUAGGGGAGAACGUUAGUGGGAGUUAAAUGCGCAUCAAUUGACGGUAACUACUCAGAAAGGGACGGCUAACUACGUG
Molecule: ribosomal RNA, 497 nt
Filed under: uncultured bacterium
Lineage: Bacteria
Description: partial 16S ribosomal RNA
Rfam family: Bacterial small subunit ribosomal RNA
Source: RNAcentral